RNAcentral lists this ribosomal RNA (468 nucleotides) under uncultured bacterium. RNAcentral describes it as "partial 16S ribosomal RNA". It matches the Rfam family "Bacterial small subunit ribosomal RNA", at positions 28 to 507 of the family's 1533-position model. The record is from RNAcentral.
GAUGAACGCUGGCGGCGUGCUUAACACAUGCAAGUCGAACGGUGAAGGCGGAGCUUGCUCUGCUGGAUCAGUGGCGAACGGGUGAGUAACACGUGAGCAAUCUGCCCCUGACUCUGGGAUAAGCGCUGGAAACGGCGUCUAAUACUGGAUACGAGCUGCGAAGGCAUCUUCAGCAGCUGGAAAGAACUUCGGUCAGGGAUGAGCUCGCGGCCUAUCAGCUUGUUGGUGAGGUAACGGCUCACCAAGGCGUCGACGGGUAGCCGGCCUGAGAGGGUGACCGGCCACACUGGGACUGAGACACGGCCCAGACUCCUACGGGAGGCAGCAGUGGGGAAUAUUGCACAAUGGGCGAAAGCCUGAUGCAGCAACGCCGCGUGAGGGACGACGGCCUUCGGGUUGCAAACCUCUUUUAGCAGGGAAGAAGCGAAAGUGACGGUAUCUGCAGAAAAAGCGCCGGCUAACUACGUG